This 468-nucleotide ribosomal RNA is filed under the name uncultured bacterium. Its description in RNAcentral is "partial 16S ribosomal RNA". It matches the Rfam family "Bacterial small subunit ribosomal RNA", at positions 28 to 507 of the family's 1533-position model. The record is from RNAcentral.
GACGAACGCUGGCGGCGUGCUUAACACAUGCAAGUCGAACGGAAAGGCCCUGCUUUUGUGGGGUGCUCGAGUGGCGAACGGGUGAGUAACACGUGAGUAACCUGCCCUUGACUUUGGGAUAACUUCAGGAAACUGGGGCUAAUACCGGAUAGGAGCUCCUGCUGCAUGGUGGGGGUUGGAAAGUUUCGGCGGUUGGGGAUGGACUCGCGGCUUAUCAGCUUGUUGGUGGGGUAGUGGCUUACCAAGGCUUUGACGGGUAGCCGGCCUGAGAGGGUGACCGGCCAAAUUGGGAAUGAGAUACGGGCCAGACUCCUAAGGGAGGCAGCAGGGGGGAAUAUUGCAAAAUGGGCGGAAGCCUGAUGCAGCAACGCCGCGUGCGGGAUGACGGCCUUCGGGUUGUAAACCGCUUUCGCCUGUGACGAAGCGUGAGUGACGGUAAUGGGUAAAGAAGCACCGGCUAACUACGUG